Molecule: RNA transcript, 2548 nt
Organism: Mytilus trossulus (common blue mussel)
Lineage: Eukaryota; Metazoa; Mollusca; Bivalvia; Mytilida; Mytilidae
Exons: 3
Source: RefSeq, a predicted model, not a curated record
GUGACCAUUUACCUUCCUUAUCAACAGACGUGUUUUAUUUAUAAGUCUUAUCAAGGAGUAUGGCAACCAAUUCCAGUUAUUGUGAUUUUUGUGACAAUCUUCAGAUUAAUGAACAUUCAGUAGUAUGGUGUUCUGAAUGUGAUGAAGGGCCCAAUGAAGAGUGUAAGAAUCAUAACUCUGAUUCCAAGGCGUCAAAAAGCCAUGAAACCGUUUCUAUUUCCGAAUACAAAAAAAUACCCACCGAAGUCAUAAACAUCGUCCAGACCUGCAAACUUCAUAAUGAGAAAUUCGAACUUUUCUGUAGAGACCACGAUUGUCCAUGCUGUCAGAAAUGUGUGAAUUCUCACAUCGAUUGUAAAAGUUUAACAGACUUAAAUGAACUCACAAAGAACAUCAACACUUCAAACUCCUUUUACGAAUUCGAACAAACCCUGCUGGAAGUCGUCGAUAAUAUUAAACAACUCGGCAUCAACCGGAAAGAAAAUUUGAAAUCUCUGGAAAACAAGAAAAAAGAAAUUGAAGCAGUAAUAAAACAAACUAGGAAAAAUAUAAAUGACCACCUUGAUAGACUUCAGGAUGAUUUGAUUAAAGAAUUAAAGACAGUUGAACAAAAUGAAAGCAGGAAAAUUGAAAAGUUAUUGACUACUCUAAAAAAGAAGGAAAAAGAGAUAAAUAAAGUAAUACAUAACUUUGCCUGUAUCAAACAACAUGCGUCUGAACUUCAAAUAUUUUUAACCAUGAAGGAUAUCGAAAAAGAUAUUGCAGUCGAAGAAAUUUUUUUUCAAUCGAUUACCACAGGUGAAUCCACAAAACAUGUCAAUAUUUCAUUCCAGAUUACUCGGUCUUUACAGCAAAUCUAUGCAGGCGUACAGAAGUUUGGAGAAAUAAUUGUCAGUUUUAAUCAAAGUGAUUUUUCCAUUAAAAAACGAAAGGACAGACAAGCCCAGAUUAUGGUAGCUCUUCCAACCAAAAAUAUUAACAACAUGACUCUAACGUUCCGGAAACGUAUCAGUACAAAGUUGACUAGUAUCUAUGGUUGUUCACUGCUUCCUGGUGAUCGGAUGGUAUUCUCUUGUAAUAAGCAAAAUAAAAUAAGGGUACUCAAGUCUGACGGAUCGAAAGAUUUCGAAAAAAAGAACGAUGGUGACACGUUGGAUGUGGUAUUUAUUGGAGGUGAUUCUAUUGCUGUAACAUACCGCUAUUCACGUCACCUUAACAUUAAUAUAAUCGACCUGAAGAAGCACAAAUUGAAAAAAUCGAUCAACUUAAAUGCAUACUAUAUUGGAGUAGUAUACAAAGACGGACAUUUGCUGUAUUGUAACGGGACAGAAGGAAUAAAGAUGAUCAAUUUGAAUGACGAAACUAUUACCAAUAUAGGCACUACCAUACUUACAGAUUUAGCGUACGUUACAACAUUCGGUGACAGACUGAUCUACACAAACUUUAAAAAUCACAGUGUUACCUGUUGUGAUUAUCAAAGUAACAUACUGUGGAAGUUUUGUGAGAGAAGUGUUCUUCGGACUCCACAAGGUAUCUCUGUAGACAAUGACGGCAAUGUGUAUGUAGCAGGGCAUGACACUGACAAUGUGGUCGUUAUAUCUACGAAUGGACAAUGCUACAGACAACUCAAAUUAAGUGAAGAUGGACUAAUUAGUCCAAGCGCGGUGCAUUACGACACGUCUAACAAUAAAUUGUUAGUUGCAAGUGUUUUCGGUGAAGCGUUUUUGUAUGAUUUUAAAUGAUUUGAAAUAAUUCCGACUUACCUUUUUUAAUAUUUUACAUGAGUUGGAUCAAUAACAAAAUUUAAAAUGAAUUAUUUGAUAUAAGUGUGAUUUGAUAUUUUUAUUCUACAAUGUAUAUGUUAAUUUAGGAUCUUCUUACCUUUCUGGAGCUCCUGAUAGCGCAAAGUGCGGCCCCAAUUGGUAAUUUAAAGAAAAUUUUGCCUUUUUUGUUAUUAUCUUGAAUAUUAUUAUACUUAGAGAUAAACUGUAAACAUCAAUAAUGUUAAACAAAAUAAGAUCUACAAAAAAGUCAUCAUGAACAAAAUGGUCAGUUGAUCCCUUAAGGGGUUAUGACCCUUUUUAGUCAUUUGUUUACAUUUUUCAUAAUUUAUGACAAAUUUAACAAAAUCAUUUCCACUGUUACUACUGGUCCAAGUUCAUUAUAGAUAUAGAUAAUUGUAAGCAGCAAGAACGUUCAGUAUAGUAACACUAUUCUGUUAUCAAUCCAUAUGUGUAUUUUGUUUAAUAUGCACAUAUACCAAGGUGAGCCACACAGGCUCUUUAGAACCUCUAGUUCUAUGUUGCAUUUACAAUUAUUUGAUUUUUGAUUUUAUUGUUGUUUUGUUUUGCCAUGGCGCUGUCAGUUAAUUUAUUUGAUUUUAUUUAUUUAGGUAUCUUUGCCUCCGUUACUAAAACAAUCGUAAUGCUUAAAAUACUAUUACUUUGAAUCACAAUGUUUGUAUUAGGUUGAAGGUCAAAAGAGAUAAAAAGAUCCUCUACCCAUAGCAUAUUAAAACCAAACUGUAAUGAAUGCAAAUAAAGAUAAC